This 149-nucleotide long non-coding RNA is filed under the name Struthio camelus australis. RNAcentral's name for it is "lncRNA (ENSSCUG00000001770.1)". The record is from RNAcentral. Lineage: Eukaryota; Metazoa; Chordata; Aves; Struthioniformes; Struthionidae.
UGCAGGGAUAUCAAAGAAUGAGAAGUAAUGUCUCAGCCCUAGCUGAGCUCACCAGCGCUAAAGUGAAGUCACUUGUCCUAAAGGCCCAUAUCGCUGAAAGACUACUUAAGAUGGUAUAUGGAUUACCUUGAACUUCUCUAAUUUAUAUG